Molecule: unclassified non-coding RNA, 229 nt
Filed under: plant metagenome
Description: partial contains small subunit ribosomal RNA, internal transcribed spacer 1, and 5.8S ribosomal RNA
Source: RNAcentral
UCUCCGUAGGUGAACCUGCGGAGGGAUCAUUACAGAGUUCAUGCCCUACCGGGUAGAUCUCCCACCCUAUGUUAUUAUUAUUUUGUUGCUUUGGCGGGCCGUUAGGCUCCGGCCCGACUACCGGCCCCGGCUGGUAAGCGCCCGCCAGAGGACCCAAAACCCCGAAUAUUAGUGUCGUCUGAGUACUAUAUAAUAGUUAAAACUUUCAACAACGGAUCUCUUGGUUCUG